This 1039-nucleotide long non-coding RNA is filed under the name Homo sapiens (human). Its description in RNAcentral is "long intergenic non-protein coding RNA 710". The record is from RNAcentral. Lineage: Eukaryota; Metazoa; Chordata; Mammalia; Primates; Hominidae.
GAAAAGAUCUGAAGAUACGCCCCUUGGAUGCCUGCAGAGAAGCUCUGGGGCUUCAGUCAAUGACUCAGGGUAGCCACCGAACAUGAUGCUCGGGCAGUGGGUGCCACCUGGACUCCACUCUCCCCUCUCUCUGGGAUCAUAGAGUCCAAGGUGUUCUGUGGCCUCUCGGCCAAUCCCAGCAGCUCAGCGUGCAGAAGACCGAGGAGCCAUUGGAAUUCAACACAACACGAAAUAAUCAACAAAUUCGGGGAAUGUUAAUCUGACCAUCACCAGUUACAAAUGAUGUUUCAUGCUACCUUCUAUUCCUGCCUUCAUAAAUCAAGGAAAAGAAAAAGAGAACAUAUAUCCCCCUACCUUUUGAUUUCCAACAGUCUACUGAGAGGCCAAGAUUAUUUGCAGGGAAAGAAAAGGGGUCAAAAUGUUUUGCCAGUAACUCCCAAAUCAUCUACAGCCAAGGAGAAAAGUGUUUCAAGACAGAGGUGCUCAAUGGUAUCAAAUACUGCCAACAGACCAAGUAAUACAUGCAUUGAAGUGUCUACUGGAUCUAGCUAUAUGAUUCCACAGCUGUUUUAUAGUAACUCAGAGUUUGAAGAGAAAUUACUCCUGCAGUACCAGUUUCCAAAAUGCUUUGUAGCAUCUUCUCAAAAAACAAAUGGGAAGAAGCCAAUCAGAAAUAAGGUAGAAUUGGCCAGGCACGGUGGCUCAUGCCUGUAAUCCAGCACUUUGGGAGGCCAAGGUGGACGGAUCACCUGAGGUCAGGAGUUUGAGACCAGCCUGGCCAACAUGGGAAACCCUGUCUCUACUAAAAAUACAAAAAUCAGCUGGGCAUGGUGGCACUUGCCUAUAAUCUCAGCUACUUGGGAGGCUGCGGCAGAAGAAUCGCUUGAACCUGGGAGGCGGAGGUUGCCUCCCGGUGAGACAAGAUUGCACCACUGCGCUCCAGCCUGGGCAACAGACCGAGGCUCUGUCACGAAAAAAAAAAAAAAAAAAAAAAGAAAAGAAAAACAAAAAAGAAGAAAGAAGGUAGAAUAAAUAAAAG